This 253-nucleotide ribosomal RNA is filed under the name uncultured bacterium. RNAcentral's name for it is "partial 16S ribosomal RNA". It matches the Rfam family "Bacterial small subunit ribosomal RNA", at positions 524 to 776 of the family's 1533-position model. The record is from RNAcentral.
UACAGAGGGUGCAAGCGUUGUUCGGAAUUAUUGGGCGUAAAGGGCGCGUAGGCGGUAUUACAAGUCGGAUGUGAAAGCCCAUGGCUCAACCAUGGAAGUGCAUUCGAAACUGUAGAACUAGAGUCUUGGAGAGGGUGGUGGAAUUCCCGGUGUAGAGGUGAAAUUCGUAGAUAUCGGGAGGAACAUCAGUGGCGAAGGCGACCACCUGGCUGAAGACUGACGCUGAGGCGCGAAAGCGUGGGGAUCAAACAGG